RNAcentral lists this ribosomal RNA (253 nucleotides) under uncultured bacterium. RNAcentral's name for it is "partial 16S ribosomal RNA". It matches the Rfam family "Bacterial small subunit ribosomal RNA", at positions 524 to 776 of the family's 1533-position model. The record is from RNAcentral.
UACGUAGGGGGCAAGCGUUGUCCGGAAUUAUUGGGCGUAAAGAGCGUGUAGGCGGCUUUACAGGUCCGUUGUGAAAACUCGAGGCUCAACCUCGAGACGCCGGUGGAAACCGUAAGGCUAGAGUCCGGAAGAGGAGAGUGGAAUUCCUGGUGUAGCGGUGAAAUGCGCAGAUAUCAGGAGGAACACCCGUGGCGAAAGCGGCCCUCUGGGACGGUACUGACGCUGAGACGCGAAAGCGUGGGGAGCAAACAGG